This 537-nucleotide ribosomal RNA is filed under the name uncultured bacterium. RNAcentral's name for it is "bacterial SSU rRNA". It matches the Rfam family "Bacterial small subunit ribosomal RNA", at positions 102 to 674 of the family's 1533-position model. The record is from RNAcentral.
ACGGGUGAGUAACACGUGGGAACGUACCUUUUGGUUCGGAACAACACAGGGAAACUUGUGCUAAUACCGGAUAAGCCCUUACGGGGAAAGAUUUAUCGCCAAAAGAUCGGCCCGCGUCUGAUUAGCUAGUUGGUAGGGUAACGGCCUACCAAGGCGACGAUCAGUAGCUGGUCUGAGAGGAUGAUCAGCCACAUUGGGACUGAGACACGGCCCAAACUCCUACGGGAGGCAGCAGUGGGGAAUAUUGGACAAUGGGCGCAAGCCUGAUCCAGCCAUGCCGCGUGAGUGAUGAAGGCCCUAGGGUUGUAAAGCUCUUUUGUACGGGAAGAUAAUGACGGUACCGUAAGAAUAAGCCCCGGCUAACUUCGUGCCAGCAGCCGCGGUAAUACGAAGGGGGCUAGCGUUGCUCGGAAUCACUGGGCGUAAAGGGUGCGUAGGCGGGUUUUUAAGUCAGAGGUGAAAUCCUGGAGCUCAACUCCAGAACUGCCUUUGAUACUGGGAAUCUUGAGUAUGGAAGAGGUGAGUGGAACUGCGAGU